Molecule: unclassified non-coding RNA, 224 nt
Filed under: fungal sp.
Lineage: Eukaryota; Fungi
Also listed under: 2 other names
Description: partial contains small subunit ribosomal RNA, internal transcribed spacer 1, and 5.8S ribosomal RNA
Rfam family: Eukaryotic small subunit ribosomal RNA (bases 1-46)
Source: RNAcentral
AAGUCGUAACAAGGUCUCCGUUGGUGAACCAGCGGAGGGAUCAUUACCGAGUUUACAACUCCCAAACCCCUGUGAACAUACCUAUACGUUGCCUCGGCGGAUCAGCCCGCGCCCCGUAAAACGGGACGGCCCGCCCGAGGACCCCUAAACUCUGUUUUUAGUGGAACUUCUGAGUAAAACAAACAAAUAAAUCAAAACUUUCAACAACGGAUCUCUUGGUUCUG